RNAcentral lists this transfer RNA (72 nucleotides) under Bos taurus (domestic cattle). It matches the Rfam family "tRNA". Rfam says of the family: Transfer RNA (tRNA) molecules are approximately 80 nucleotides in length. Their secondary structure includes four short double-helical elements and three loops (D, anti-codon, and T loops). The record is from Rfam by way of RNAcentral. RNAcentral also lists the same sequence under 3 other names. Lineage: Eukaryota; Metazoa; Chordata; Mammalia; Artiodactyla; Bovidae.
UCCCUGGUGGCUCAGAUGGCAAAGCGUCUGCCUGCAAUGCGGGAGACCCAGGUUCAAUCCCUGGGUGGGGAA